This 654-nucleotide ribosomal RNA is filed under the name Triticum aestivum (bread wheat). RNAcentral's name for it is "partial small subunit ribosomal RNA". The record is from RNAcentral. Lineage: Eukaryota; Viridiplantae; Streptophyta; Magnoliopsida; Poales; Poaceae.
AUGACGAUCUCAGCCGUGUUCUUCAUAUAUUGGUUUCUUGAUACAACAGGGAAGGCACCAUCUCUCAAGAGUCUUCGCCUCAUUUCUUGCUAUAAUUUUGAUGUUGAAGGACUUGAAGAGGCGAUAGUGAAGUUCCCUUUGCUUGAGGAGCUUGAGCUUUCUUUGUCUGCAAAUGUGGGUGAGAGUGGCGUGUUUGGGGUUGUUGGCAGGGCAUGCCCACAACUGAAGCGCUUCAGACUGAGUAAGGACGUGUUCUACGAUUUUGAAGCCAGUGGGUAUGACAAGGACGACGUAGCCUGGGGAUUGCAACUAUGCACGAGUUGCGGUCUUUGCAGCUGUUUGGCAAUUGCCUCACCAAUAAAGGACUGGCAGCUAUCCUGGACAAUUACCGCCACCUGGAGUCCCUUGACAUUCGUUAUUGCUUCAACAUUGACAUGGAUGGCGCGCUGCGCUCAAAGUGUGCAGGAGCCUAUCUGGGCGGAUUCAGGGUCCUUUUCGGCUGAUUAUACGGGAUCUGGUUCUGACUAUGAGCUUGACUCGGAAGAUUACGAUGACUACUGUGAUCCUUCCCGCUACCUUGAUGGUGUGUACGAGGACGAGCUUAAUGAAGAAGAUAGGAUGCUUCUCAGGGGUAUGCGCAUGCUAAUGAAGUGA